Long non-coding RNA from Scatophagus argus, 293 nucleotides. RefSeq lists it as uncharacterized. Lineage: Eukaryota; Metazoa; Chordata; Actinopteri; Scatophagidae. The record is from RefSeq and is a predicted model, not a curated record. The transcript is spliced from 3 exons.
GUCCACAGAGAUCCUCUUUGCUUCCCACAUUCCUCUCUGGGCUGUUAGAGCUCUGAAAGACCACCUUCUGCUGCUGCAGGAUGACAGAACGACACCGAACACAACAGGCCACCGUGCUGACACCAUCUGUGGUGUAGAAAACACUGCUGCUGGAGAGAGGGACAAGUUGCUGUGGCAGCAGAAUAAACAGGAGACGCCUGCAGAGACUCAACCCGAGGAAGAGAUCGUUCCACCCACCUUUGCUGGCAACGAGGCCUGGCUCACAUCCCUCUGUGUGUGUGUGUGUGUGUGUG